This 798-nucleotide long non-coding RNA is filed under the name Zonotrichia albicollis (white-throated sparrow). Its description in RNAcentral is "lncRNA (ENSZALG00000002134.1)". Lineage: Eukaryota; Metazoa; Chordata; Aves; Passeriformes; Passerellidae. The record is from RNAcentral.
CCCCGCUCAUUCCUGGAGCCAUUUAAGCCACACCCACAAUCUCGUUAGGCCACGCCCACCCAGAAAUCACACCCACAAUAUCUUAGGCCACGCCCACUUAUCGCACACCUUAUUUAGGCCACGCCCAUUUUUUGCUCCGCCCACACCUGGAGCCUUUUAAGCCACACCCAGUUCCAUCCCCAGCCCCUCCCAGUUCAUCCCAGUUUGUCCCAGUUCCCUCCCAGUGUAAACCAGUAAAUCCCAGUUUUCUCCCAGUUCCCUCCCAGUUCCUUCCCAGUAUAAACCAGUCCCUCCCAGUCCCUCCCAGUUCCCUCCCUGUCCAUUCCCAGGGUCUCCCAGUAUAACCCAGUUUAUCCCAGUAUCAUCCCAGCCCAUCCCAGUCCCUCCCAGUAUAAACCAGUAUAACCCAGUCCCUUCCAUUCCUCUCCCAGUUCCCUCCCAGUCCAUCCCAGUUCCCCUCCAACUCCAUCCCAGUCCAUUCCCAAUUCCCUCCAGUUCAUUCCCAGUAUAAACCGGUAUCCCUCUGUCGCUCCCAGUUCAUCCCAGUAUAAACCAGUAUAAACCAGUUUAUCCCAGUUCCCUCCCAGUUUAUCCCAUUCCCUCCCAGUCCAUCCCAGUCCCUCCCAGUUUAUCCCAGUUCCCUCCCAGUCCCUCCCAGUCCAUCCCAGUUCCCUCCCAGUUUAUCCCAGUCCCUCCCAGUUUAUCCCAGUCCCUCCCAGUUUAUCCCAGUCCAUUCCCAGUCCCCUCCCAGUAUAAACCAGUAUAUCCCAGUAUAUCCCAGUUUAUCCCAGUCCAUUC